Small nucleolar RNA from Callorhinchus milii (elephant shark), 111 nucleotides. The record is from Ensembl. NCBI's taxonomy places the organism in Eukaryota, Metazoa, Chordata, Chondrichthyes, Chimaeriformes, Callorhinchidae.
GACGAGGGAUGAUGACACAAAGGCCGAAUUGCAGAGCCGGGGCCCCAGGUGGUUCUCAGGUCUGGGCUCAGUGACAAAACUCCUGAAGCGACUCAUUAGUCUGACCUCAUC